This 254-nucleotide ribosomal RNA is filed under the name uncultured bacterium. Its description in RNAcentral is "partial 16S ribosomal RNA". It matches the Rfam family "Bacterial small subunit ribosomal RNA", at positions 524 to 776 of the family's 1533-position model. The record is from RNAcentral.
UACGGGGGGAGCAAGCGUUGUUCGGAUUUACUGGGCGUAAAGGGCGCGUAGGCGGUCAGCACAAGUCAGUUGUGAAAUCUCCGGGCUUAACUCGGAAAGGUCAACUGAUACUAUGCGACUAGAGUGCGGAAGGGGCAACUGGAAUUCUCGGUGUAGCGGUGAAAUGCGUAGAUAUCGAGAGGAACACCUGCGGCGAAGGCGGGUUGCUGGGCCGACACUGACGCUGAUGCGCGAAAGCCAGGGGAGCGAACGGG